This 918-nucleotide ribosomal RNA is filed under the name Spongipellis spumea. Its description in RNAcentral is "LSU rRNA". It matches the Rfam family "Eukaryotic large subunit ribosomal RNA", at positions 35 to 938 of the family's 3401-position model. Lineage: Eukaryota; Fungi; Basidiomycota; Agaricomycetes; Polyporales. The record is from RNAcentral.
UAAGCAUAUCAAUAAGCGGAGGAAAAAGAAACUAACAAGGAUUCCCCUAGUAACUGCGAGUGAAGCGGGAAAAGCUCAAAUUUAAAAUCUGGCAGUCUUUGGCUGUCCGAGUUGUAGUCUGGAGAAGUGUUUUCCGCGCUGGACCGUGUACAAGUCUCUUGGAAUAGAGCGUCAUAGAGGGUGAGAAUCCCGUCUUUGACACGGACCGCCAGUGCUUUGUGAUGCGCUCUCAAAGAGUCGAGUUGUUUGGGAAUGCAGCUCAAAAUGGGUGGUAAAUUCCAUCUAAAGCUAAAUAUUGGCGAGAGACCGAUAGCGAACAAGUACCGUGAGGGAAAGAUGAAAAGCACUUUGGAAAGAGAGUUAAACAGUACGUGAAAUUGCUGAAAGGGAAACGCUUGAAGUCAGUCGCGUUGUCCAGAACUCAGCCUGGCUUUUGCUUGGUGCAUUUUCUGGAUAACGGGCCAGCAUCAAUUUUGAUCGUUGGAUAAAGGUCUUGGGAAUGUGGCACCUUCGGGUGUGUUAUAGCCCUUGAUUGCAUACAACGAUUGGGAUUGAGGAUCUCAGCAUGCCUUUAUGGUCGGGGUUCGCCCACGUUCAUGCUUAGGAUGCUGGCGUAAUGGCUUUAAUCGACCCGUCUUGAAACACGGACCAAGGAGUCUAACAUGCCUGCGAGUAUUUGGGUGGUAAACCCGAGUGCGCAAUGAAAGUGAAAGUUGGGAUCUCUGUCGCGGAGAGCACCGACGCCCGGACCAGAUCUUUUGUGACGGUUCCGCGGUGGAGCAUGUAUGUUGGGACCCGAAAGAUGGUGAACUAUGCCUGAAUAGGGUGAAGCCAGAGGAAACUCUGGUGGAGGCUCGUAGCGAUUCUGACGUGCAAAUCGAUCGUCAAAUUUGGGUAUAGGGGCGAAAGACUAAUCGA